RNAcentral lists this unclassified non-coding RNA (323 nucleotides) under soil metagenome. Its description in RNAcentral is "partial contains 5.8S ribosomal RNA, internal transcribed spacer 2, and large subunit ribosomal RNA". The stretch from base 1 to 120 matches the Rfam family "5.8S ribosomal RNA", at positions 35 to 154 of the family's 154-position model. The record is from RNAcentral.
GAUGAAGAACGUAGCGAAAUGCGAUAAGUAGUGUGAAUUGCAGAAUUCAGUGAAUCAUCGAAUCUUUGAACGCACAUUGCGCCCCUUGGUAUUCCAUGGGGCAUGCCUGUUCGAGCGUCAUUUGUACCUUCAAGCUUUGCUUGGUGUUGGGUGUUUGUCCCGAGGGACUCGCCUUAAAGUAAUUGGCAGCCAGUGUUUGGUUUUGAAGCGCAGCACAAGUCGCGAUUCAAGGCUACACGCCCGCUUCCACAAGCCUUUUCUCACUUUUGACCUCGGAUCAGGUAGGGAUACCCGCUGAACUUAAGCAUAUCAAUAGCGGAGGA